GACGAACGCUGGCGGCGUGCUUAACACAUGCAAGUCGAACGGAAAGGCCCUGCUUUUGUGGGGUGCUCGAGUGGCGAACGGGUGAGUAACACGUGAGUAACCUGCCCUUGACUUUGGGAUAACUUCAGGAAACUGGGGCUAAUACCGGAUAGGAGCUCCUGCUGCAUGGUGGGGGUUGGAAAGUUUCGGCGGUUGGGGAUGGACUCGCGGCUUAUCAGCUUGUUGGUGGGGUAGUGGCUUACCAAGGCUUUGACGGGUAGCCGGCCUGAGAGGGUGACCGGCCACAUUGGGACUGAGAUACGGCCCAGACUCCUACGGGAGGCAGCAGUGGGGAAUAUUGCACAAUGGGCGGAAGCCUGAUGCAGCAACGCCGCGUGCGGGAUGACGGCCUUCGGGUUGUAACCCGCUUUCGCCUGUGACGAAGCGUGAGUGACGGUAAUGGGUAAAGAAGCACCGGCUAACACGUG
RNAcentral lists this ribosomal RNA (467 nucleotides) under uncultured bacterium. RNAcentral's name for it is "partial 16S ribosomal RNA". It matches the Rfam family "Bacterial small subunit ribosomal RNA", at positions 28 to 507 of the family's 1533-position model. The record is from RNAcentral.